AUCAUCUCAGAAUUUUCAUCAUCGUUA
This 27-nucleotide small RNA is filed under the name Arabidopsis thaliana (thale cress). Its description in RNAcentral is "ATSL005810". The record is from RNAcentral. Lineage: Eukaryota; Viridiplantae; Streptophyta; Magnoliopsida; Brassicales; Brassicaceae.